RNAcentral lists this long non-coding RNA (525 nucleotides) under Sus scrofa (pig). Its description in RNAcentral is "lncRNA (ENSSSCG00025022376.1, ENSSSCG00065036782.1)". The record is from RNAcentral. Lineage: Eukaryota; Metazoa; Chordata; Mammalia; Artiodactyla; Suidae.
AUGAAAGAAACGCAGAGCGAAGGGUCCUUGGCCCAAACACAGGAUGGCAUGACCCAGCCAGGCACUUGGCUUUCUGGAAGGACCCUGUGCCCUUGCCGCCUGGCAGGUUCGACCAUCUGGUGGCCAUCGAGCUCCCGGGAAGGGCUGUGCGUGGCAAUUACUACAAUGCGGGAGAUGAAGAUCCAGCCCUUGGUGGACCCUGUGGGUAAUCCUUUCAGAUCACAGAGGAUUCCUGGAAUCUCGUCGAGGUCCUACGCCUCUCAAGGACUCUGUAAAGUGAGGACAACAGGGCCCUGGACAGGACACCCUGGGAGCAAACACGAUGAACUGCAUGGAUGCCGAACAGCAGAGACAGAUGUAGACAAGACACAGAGGCCAGGGGCAGACCAGCCAGAAGAAUCUAGAAGGACAGAGGAAAAUUGCUUCCUUUGUGACAGUUGUUGGCACAGUCUGAGGACUCAGUUUUACUGGCUGGAUACUACUCACCCUGAAGCUGCUGCAGCUGAGAAAUCCGUGGACAACUGA